UGUCAAGGGAUGGGAAUCGAACCCACGACCUUCCGCUUACCGGGCAGAUGCCAUGACCACUAGGGAACACUGGAC
Molecule: non-coding RNA, 75 nt
Organism: Cordylochernes scorpioides
Lineage: Eukaryota; Metazoa; Arthropoda; Arachnida; Pseudoscorpiones; Chernetidae
Source: the annotation of a GenBank genome assembly